GAUGAACGCUGGCGGCGUGCUUAACACAUGCAAGUCGAACGGAAAGGCUCCUGCUUGCAGGGGUACUCGAGUGGCGAACGGGUGAGCAACACGUGGGUGAUCUGCCCUGCACUUCGGGAUAAGCCUGGGAAACUGGGUCUAAUACCGGAUAGGACGAUGGUUUGGAUGCCAUUGUGGAAAGUUUUUCGGUGUGGGAUGAGCUCGCGGCCUAUCAGCUUGUUGGUGGGGUAAUGGCCUACCAAGGCGUCGACGGGUAGCCGGCCUGAGAGGGUGUACGGCCACAUUGGGACUGAGAUACGGCCCAGACUCCUACGGGAGGCAGCAGUGGGGAAUAUUGCACAAUGGGCGCAAGCCUGAUGCAGCGACGCCGCGUGGGGGAUGACGGCCUUCGGGUUGUAAACUCCUUUCGCCAGGGACGAAGCGCAAGUGACGGUACCUGGAGAAGAAGCACCGGCUAACUACGUG
RNAcentral lists this ribosomal RNA (465 nucleotides) under uncultured bacterium. RNAcentral's name for it is "partial 16S ribosomal RNA". It matches the Rfam family "Bacterial small subunit ribosomal RNA", at positions 28 to 507 of the family's 1533-position model. The record is from RNAcentral.